Molecule: ribosomal RNA, 253 nt
Filed under: uncultured bacterium
Lineage: Bacteria
Description: partial 16S ribosomal RNA
Rfam family: Bacterial small subunit ribosomal RNA
Source: RNAcentral
UACGGAGGGGGCAAGCGUUAUUCGGAAUUAUUGGGCGUAAAGGGCGCGUAGGCGGCUAGAUGUGUCAAAGGUGAAAUCCCUCGGCUCAACUGAGGAACUGCCUUUGAAACUGUCUGGCUUGAGGCCGGGAGAGGGUAGCGGAAUUCCCAGUGUAGCGGUGAAAUGCGUAGAUAUUGGGAGGAACACCAGUGGCGAAGGCGGCUACCUGGACCGGUUCUGACGCUGAGGCGCGAAAGCGUGGGGAGCGAACAGG